UACAGAGGGUGCAAGCGUUGUUCGGAAUUAUUGGGCGUAAAGGGCGCGUAGGCGGUGCGGUAAGUCUGUAGUGAAAUCUCUGGGCUCAACUCAGAGUCUGCUGCAGAAACUGCCGUGCUUGAGUGUGGGAGAGGUGCGUGGAAUUCCUGGUGUAGCGGUGAAAUGCGUAGAUAUCAGGAGGAACACCAGUAGCGAAGGCGACACUCUGGGCCGGUACUGACGCUGAGGAGCGAAAGCGUGGGGAGCAAACGGG
Molecule: ribosomal RNA, 253 nt
Filed under: uncultured bacterium
Lineage: Bacteria
Description: partial 16S ribosomal RNA
Rfam family: Bacterial small subunit ribosomal RNA
Source: RNAcentral